CCUACGGGAGGCAGCAGUGGGGAAUAUUGGACAAUGGGCGAAAGCCUGAUCCAGCAAUGCCGCGUGAGUGAUGAAGGCCUUCGGGUCGUAAAGCUCUUUUACCAGGGAUGAUAAUGACAGUACCUGGAGAAUAAGCUCCGGCUAACUCCGUGCCAGCAGCCGCGGUAAUACGGAGGGAGCUAGCGUUGUUCGGAAUUACUGGGCGUAAAGAGUACGUAGGCGGUUAUUCAAGUCAGAGGUGAAAGCCCGGGGCUCAACCCCGGAACUGCCUUUGAAACUAGAUAACUAGAGUCUUGGAGAGGUUAGUGGAAUUCCGAGUGUAGAGGUGAAAUUCGUAGAUAUUCGGAAGAACACCAGUGGCGAAGGCGACUAACUGGACAAGUACUGACGCUGAGGUACGAAAGCGUGGGGAGCAAACAGGAUUAGAUACCCUGGUAGUCCACGCCGUAAACGAUGAUAACUAGUUGUUCGGUNACUUGGUGACUGAGUGACGCANCUACGACAUUAGUUAUCGCCGUGGGUAGGUACGGUCGCAGAGUAACGUACGAAGAAGUAGACGGCGNGAAGAGUGCGAGACGACGACGAGGAGAGG
This 592-nucleotide ribosomal RNA is filed under the name uncultured bacterium. RNAcentral describes it as "bacterial SSU rRNA". The stretch from base 1 to 516 matches the Rfam family "Bacterial small subunit ribosomal RNA", at positions 338 to 873 of the family's 1533-position model. The record is from RNAcentral.